CAUGCAAGUCGAACGAACCGAGGGGCUGUUGAUCGGGUUUCGGAAGGGUUCGUCCCGGAAGAGCCCGUGAGGUUCCUUGGUUAGUGGCGAACGGGUGAGUAACACGUAGGUGACCUGCCCCGAAGUGGGGGAUAACUGCCCGAAAGAGCAGCUAAUACCGCAUGUGGUUCAGCAGUCGUAUGCUGAACCAAAGGAGCAAUCCGCUUUGGGAGGGGCCCGCGGCCCAUCAGCUAGUUGGUAGGGUAAUGGCCUACCAAGGCGAUGACGGGUAGCUGGUCUGAGAGGACGAUCAGCCACACUGGCACUGAGACACGGGCCAGACUCCUACGGGAGGCAGCAGUGAGGGAUAUUGCGCAAUGGGCGAAAGCUUGACGCAGCGACGCCGCGUGGGCGACGAAGGUCUUCGGAUCGUAAAGCCCUUUUCCGGAGGAAGAGGAAGGACGG
RNAcentral lists this ribosomal RNA (444 nucleotides) under uncultured bacterium. Its description in RNAcentral is "bacterial SSU rRNA". It matches the Rfam family "Bacterial small subunit ribosomal RNA", at positions 54 to 458 of the family's 1533-position model. The record is from RNAcentral.